This 467-nucleotide ribosomal RNA is filed under the name uncultured bacterium. Its description in RNAcentral is "partial 16S ribosomal RNA". It matches the Rfam family "Bacterial small subunit ribosomal RNA", at positions 28 to 506 of the family's 1533-position model. The record is from RNAcentral.
GACGAACGCUGGCGGCGUGCUUAACACAUGCAAGUCGAACGGAAAGGCCCUGCUUUUGUGGGGUGCUCGAGUGGCGAACGGGUGAGUAACACGUGAGUAACCUGCCCUUGACUUUGGGAUAACUUCAGGAAACUGGGGCUCAUACCGGAUAGGAGCUCCUGCUGCAUGGUGGGUGUUGGAACGUUUCGGCGGUUGAGGAUGGACUCGCGGCUUAUCAGCUUGUUGGUUGGGUAGUGGCUUACCAAGGCUUUGACGGGUAGCCGGCCUGAGAGGGUGACCGGCCACAGUGGGACUGAGAUACGGCCCAGACUCCGACGGGAGGCAGCAGUGGGGAAUAUGGCACAAUGGGCGGAAGCCUGAUACAGCAACGCCGCGUGCGGGAUGACGGCCUUCGGGUUGUAAACCGCUUUCGCCUGUGACGAAGCGUGAGGGACGGUAAUGGGUAAAGAAGCACCGGCUAACUACGU